This 448-nucleotide ribosomal RNA is filed under the name uncultured bacterium. RNAcentral describes it as "bacterial SSU rRNA". It matches the Rfam family "Bacterial small subunit ribosomal RNA", at positions 330 to 793 of the family's 1533-position model. The record is from RNAcentral.
UCCAGACUCCUACGGGAGGCAGCAGUGGGGAAUAUUGCACAAUGGGGGAAACCCUGAUGCAGCGACGCCGCGUGAGUGAAGAAGUAUUUCGGUAUGUAAAGCUCUAUCAGCAGGGAAGAUAAUGACGGUACCUGACUAAGAAGCCCCGGCUAACUACGUGCCAGCAGCCGCGGUAAUACGUAGGGGGCAAGCGUUAUCCGGAUUUACUGGGUGUAAAGGGUGCGCAGGUGGCAGGGCAAGUCAGAUGUGAAAGCCCGGGGCUCAACCCCGGUAUUGCAUUUGAAACUGUCCGGCUAGAGUGCAGGAGAGGUAAGCGGAAUUCCUAGUGUAGCGGUGAAAUGCGUAGAUAUUAGGAGGAACACCAGUGGCGAAGGCGGCGUACUGGACUGUAACUGACACUGAGGCACGAAAGCGUGGGGAGCAAACAGGAUUAGAUACCCCGGUAACG